RNAcentral lists this ribosomal RNA (270 nucleotides) under uncultured archaeon. RNAcentral's name for it is "partial 16S ribosomal RNA". It matches the Rfam family "Archaeal small subunit ribosomal RNA", at positions 477 to 747 of the family's 1478-position model. The record is from RNAcentral.
CAGCACCUCAAGUGGUCAGGAUGAUUAUUGGGCCUAAAGCAUCCGUAGCCUGCUUUGUUAGUUUUCGGUUAAAUCCAUACGCUUAACGUAUGGGCUGCCGGGAAUACUGCAAAGCUAGGGAGUGGGAGAGGUAGACGGUACUCGGUAGGAAGGGGUAAAAUCCUUUGAUCUAUUGAUGACCACCUGUGGCGAAGGCGGUCUACCAGAACACGUCCGACGGUGAGGGAUGAAAGCUGGGGGAGCAAACCGGAUUAGAUACCCGAGUAGUCC